UAGUAAUGAGAUAAGUCAGGGAGAUUGUGUACCUCAAUCGAUCCAAUCGCUGCUUGAGUUUGAGAUGAAAAAUCUACCUCGGACAACAGCUGAAGUUAGUACCUUAGGUCGGGAGGCUCUAGAAUCUCCUAUAAGGGAUUUCUUGGAUUACUUCAGUCCAAGAACUGAAUAGUCUAUCCUGACCAAUCUCGAUCUUCAGAAA
This 202-nucleotide long non-coding RNA is filed under the name Elaeis guineensis (African oil palm). RNAcentral describes it as "long non-coding RNA (EGUI_LNC050896)". Lineage: Eukaryota; Viridiplantae; Streptophyta; Magnoliopsida; Arecales; Arecaceae. The record is from RNAcentral.